UGGCUCAGCCUGUAAAAGCACCUGUUUGCAAUGCAGGAGACCAGGGUUCGAUCCCUG
RNAcentral lists this transfer RNA (57 nucleotides) under Bos taurus (domestic cattle). It matches the Rfam family "tRNA", at positions 8 to 63 of the family's 71-position model. From Rfam's summary of the family: Transfer RNA (tRNA) molecules are approximately 80 nucleotides in length. RNAcentral also lists the same sequence under 4 other names. The record is from Rfam by way of RNAcentral. Lineage: Eukaryota; Metazoa; Chordata; Mammalia; Artiodactyla; Bovidae.